UUGUGAGGUGCAAUUUGGGUAUUAGGUUUGAAUUGGGUCUGUAAUUGGUUAUGGAGCUAGGGUGUAUUGGGUUCAUGGUUUAUUUUAUUGGACUAUUAUUGUACAUUUUAUUUUAUUUUUAUUUUUAUUUAGUUUUAAUAAGCCCGGGUAAAAUUUGUUAUUACAUCAUCAUCUAACAAGGAAGAGGAUGCGACAGCUGCAUCACCAGUAAUAGUAGAACCCUGCAAAACAUAUAACUCG
RNAcentral lists this long non-coding RNA (240 nucleotides) under Gossypium raimondii (Peruvian cotton). Its description in RNAcentral is "long non-coding RNA (GRAI_LNC007536)". Lineage: Eukaryota; Viridiplantae; Streptophyta; Magnoliopsida; Malvales; Malvaceae. The record is from RNAcentral.